RNAcentral lists this non-coding RNA (29 nucleotides) under Trypanosoma brucei brucei. The record is from RNAcentral. Lineage: Eukaryota; Euglenozoa; Kinetoplastea; Trypanosomatida; Trypanosomatidae.
UAUAGGGCACUACACCCUUAUAUGUAGAU